UAGGGAAUUUUGCGCAAUGGAGGAAACUCUGACGCAGCAACGCCAUGUGUGGGAUGAAGCAUUUCGGUGUGUAAACCACUGUCAGCAGGGAAUAAAUGGUCUCUUCGGAGGCAGUUGAAUGUACCUGCAAAGGAAGCCCCGGCUAACUUCGUGCCAGCAGCCGCGGUAAUACGAGGGGGGCAAAUGUUGUUCGGAAUCACUGGGCGUAAAGGGAGCGUAGGCGGGCUCUUAAGUUAGGUGUUUAAUCCCGGGGCCCAACCCCGGACAGGCACCUAAAACUGGGAGUCUUGAAUAGUGGAGAGGACGGCGGAAUUGGGGGUGUAGCGGUGGAAUGCGUAGAGAUCCCCAAGAACACCAGUUGCGAAGGCGGCCGUCUGGACACAUAUUGACGCUGAGGCUCGAAAGCAUGGGGAGCAAA
This 418-nucleotide ribosomal RNA is filed under the name uncultured bacterium. RNAcentral's name for it is "bacterial SSU rRNA". It matches the Rfam family "Bacterial small subunit ribosomal RNA", at positions 355 to 772 of the family's 1533-position model. The record is from RNAcentral.